RNAcentral lists this long non-coding RNA (236 nucleotides) under Lathyrus oleraceus (garden pea). RNAcentral describes it as "Pisum sativum (pea) long non-coding RNA (PSAT_LNC036227)". Lineage: Eukaryota; Viridiplantae; Streptophyta; Magnoliopsida; Fabales; Fabaceae. The record is from RNAcentral.
CAGGUGAUGGAUCUUGCUUUGUUAUGGUAGUUGAUGUGUGGUGGAGGCGGAAGCAAUUAGUGGUGUUGUUGUAUCGUGUGGUUGUGCGAUUACCAACGUCGAUGGUGUUUGAUGGGAGAGUGGAAGAGAGUUAUUGUUUGGUUUGUUUGUGUUUGCAGAAUGUUAAGUGAUGAAGCUUGUUUGGAGUUUGGAAGAUGAGGUGAGUUUGUUAAUGGCUUUGUUUUUUUUCUUUUGAU